RNAcentral lists this long non-coding RNA (2138 nucleotides) under Orbicella faveolata. RNAcentral's name for it is "uncharacterized LOC110057376". Lineage: Eukaryota; Metazoa; Cnidaria; Anthozoa; Scleractinia; Merulinidae. The record is from RNAcentral.
CUGUUAUUGCUAUUGCUAUUGCUAUUGUUAUUAUUGUUACUGUUAUUGCUAUUAUUGUUAUUGUUAUUGUUAAAUAGUGGACAUAAUUUUAUUGGGCUCAUUAAAAUUCUUCACUAAAGCUUUACAUGAUAAUUAUUAUAUGAUAAUUAUUUGAUAAAAAAAUUAUAUUAACGAAAAAAUGUAUGAUACAAAUUAAGGUACUGAGUAAGAGAACAUCAGACAUCUCAUCAGAUUUGAAUGACCUUUGAAAUAAGAUCUUUACAAAAGUGCAACUGUUUGCAGUAACUAAGGUUACCUAUUAAACAAAUUUCAAAAUUAAUUACAUUUUUGACUCUAGCAAUGUUUUGAGAGUUAACAUGAACUGUAUGCUGACAGAAGGAAAAUGAAAACAUUGUAAUUCAGAUUUUGAUACACAAAUUGGUCACAAUUGGUAACAUAUCUGAGAAGUGAAGAUUUUCCUCAGUUCCGACAGGUCUGUGCUUAAAUAACAAAACACCUAACCCUCCUGUUUGUUGACAUUUUGGCUGGACACAAUUCCUGUGGCGCUAAACUGCUACAACUACAUUAAAAAUUGUGGUGUUGGUUCUUUGGCUCAUAUCAAUGGCACAUCAUUACCAGUGCUUUCACAUGGUUGUCACUUGCAGAUGCUUAAGAAACACGGUCCUCUAGUCCAACUCUUACCAUACAAAAACCCGUAAAGUUCUAAUGGUAUCAGACCUUGUUAAAUUUGGAUGUGGAAAGGUACUGACAUAUGGCAAUUAUUUUUGUAGGGUUGCAAAUUGACUUUCAGGGUGGGGUUCCUACUUUUUUACUACAUUAAAACAAUAUGUAGAUUGAUCCUUGUGCAGAAUAUAAUUUUGUGACAAAGUCAUAUCAAGAAAUAAAGAGGUUAAAACUUAUUUAAUGUAACUAAUUAUUUCAAGUUAUACUUCAGAAAAAAGCCAAACAUUUUCCCUUUGAAUAACAGUCUCCUGAAGCAAACAUCCAAUCAGUUUAUUUAGGAUUAUGUACAUUGUACAGUCUGUUGCCUAUGUAUUUCAUUGUUUUCAGGUUUGAGGUCAUUCCUUUCAUGGCAUCAUUACUUUUGGAGAGUUGGUAGCUUUGGGAUUUGUUAACAGCUUUGAAAUUUUAUUGCUUUUUCCUGAGGGUCACCAAUUUCAUGAAAAUCUGGAACUUUCAGUAUUUUGAAAUGUUUGCCAUCUGUAGUAUACCGGUUUUUGGGUUUGUUAAAGCCGCAUUAGCUGUGUCAUAGGCUUACACUGUAACUCAAUGUUCUACCCUUGUCAUGAGAUAUGGUCUUCUCAUUAGAAAUUAAAAUGUAUUUGCUUCUUCUGCAGCUCCGCAGCUUUGAAGUCCAACAAGAAUCUAAGGCUCCCGUUGUAACAGAUUGUGUCAAUAGACAUGUAGAGGAAGAAUUAUUAGAAGAGAAGGAGAAAAGAAUAGAGGAACUAGAGAAAGAGGUACUCGAUAUAUAGAUAUAUUGCAGAUGGAGUACUGUCCAGUUUACCUAUCUUAAUGGUGUCAUCUGAUAACAAAUUCUUUUAUUAAUACAAUAAUUAUUUAAUUAACCCACACAUAGUUACAAUUGUGAAAUGAGUGAUUUUAGAAGUGGUUAAGAUAGCCCAGUACAGAUUGGCCAGCAAAACCAAUGGUUUCGCGUGUUUUAAUGUAAUGGGUAAAAUACGAUAAGAGUGUGGUGAAUUAAUUCUCAAUUGUUUUAUUUUGUGCUUUCUGAAUGCUCAGUUUUAAUAAAUCAUGAAUAAAGGGAUACCCCAUUUUAGAUAAACAAAAAGAGAGAAGCAUCAUUUACAAGAGAUUCAGUAUGGUGAUAAAAAACUAUAUGCAACAAAAAUAAACAGGUCAAAAGUCCAUGAAAAUUUGUGAGAAAAUUCAAAGAGGGACUAUUUAACAGUUAUUCCACAAGCAUGUGCUGGAUAUGAGAUGGUAGAUUAGCCUGCAAUACAGGUGGAUUAGCGGGCUCUAGCGCGAUACACGAGCAUGCGUGAAGCGCGAGAACGACCGCAAAGCGCGAGGCGAGAAAAAUCCGCCUGUAUUCACACCAUUGUUUAUCCUCUUCCAACCGUUCGCCUGGCGAACGGUUUUUGUUGAUUGGUUGCUUUAAGCCACGUGACGUCAGA